CUUGGUUAGGUCCUGUGGAAAUGAUAUAUGAGUCAGGAAGUUCUGGACCUGGGCAAUGGCUACUGAGUGUGAAGAGGAGUUGUAACGAUGGAGAGAGAAGCCGAGGAGAAGUCCACAGCAUAUAAUGUACUAGAGCUCUAGCUUUGGUUGGGGUGCAGGUUUUAUACCAACGUACACAAAUGCAAGAGCACACACACACACAUACACACGGACACACAGACACGUUCUUCUGAACUCAUCUGAUACAGAAGACUUCCAGCAUGAGAAGCCUUACACCCAACCUCAAUGAGAUAUGGAAACAGGAGGGAAGCCAGACUUCGGGAAAAGUUGGCCACAUCGUCUGAGUAGCUGCACCUAGACCAGAUAUGCUGGGAUUGGCUGAAAUCCGGAAAAAACAAAAUUGCCAGUAGCUGGAGAGGUUGUAGAUAUCCAUCUUUGGGGACGUCAGUCACAGGUAGAAGGACAGUCACUGGGCUGGGUCAGCUUCUAGGAGGGAGAUUUGCAAGGAUGCAGUAAGAGUCCAAGCAUCAAAGAGCAGACCAGUGGGCAGGUGCCUAAGAGAACAAGGCGAGAGCCCCAGUAUUGGAACUGGGGUCAUGAUGAGGACUUAACCUCGAGAGCAAGGCACAGGAGAAGCCCAUUUUCAGAGCUGUGGCGCCAGGCAGGACCAGGCCAGGAAGUGAGACCCGGGCAGCACCUGCAAAACUGUCUGAGGUCAGCGUCCCAGCUGCCCUGGGGCUUGUGUUCCUGGAAUCUAGUAGGUAGAACCCAGGGAUGCUCCUGGAACCCUACAGUGCACACAUGGCACCUGCAACAGAUCAGCUGAGGAACCCCGGUCCGAAGUGAUGUUGAAGGUACCAGGAUGAGUCCAGGGGCAAUAGCGGGCAGGAGGACAGGACUGGUGUUAGAGUGAAUCACGAAUGAGGGAGAGUGGCCAGAAAAACAGGAAAGGGUAGCAAAAUUUGAUCUCAUGUCCUUGAAGGAGGCUUCUUGGUUUUUUAAAGGAUGGAGAGAAACAGUUUGGAAGUGGCAAUGAGAGUUAUGUGAGAGACGAGACCCGAGAGCUGCCACUUGAGAAGCCUGGAGGGAGCAGUGUCCUGGGAGCACAGCCAGGUCAGAGUUGGAGCACGAAGGGCAUGCUGGAGGAUGUGGGAAACUUGCUGAGGGUAGACGGUGAGCAGCGGGGGCAACAGAUGUUGGAAGGAAAGGGAGUCAGGUUUGGGGGGCACAGGGUCCUGUGGGGAGAAGCACCCGCAGAGACUUAGCAUUACGAAGUGAUGAUCACGGUGAAUUUGAAGCACAGUGAGAGGG
Molecule: long non-coding RNA, 1311 nt
Filed under: Equus caballus (horse)
Lineage: Eukaryota; Metazoa; Chordata; Mammalia; Perissodactyla; Equidae
Description: lncRNA (ENSECAG00000052011.1)
Source: RNAcentral